UUUUUAUAGAGAGUUUGAUCCUGGCUCAGGAUGAACGCUGGCGGCGUGCUUAAUACAUGCAAGUCGAACGAAGACAUCUCGCCGAAGCUUGCUUCAUUGAGAUAUCUUAGUGGCGGACGGGUGAGUAACGCGUGGGUAACCUGCCUUACACAGGGGGAUAACAGUUAGAAAUGACUGCUAAUACCGCAUAAGCGCACAUUAUCGCAUGAUAGAGUGUGAAAAGAUUUAUCGGUGUAAGAUGGACCCGCGUCUGAUUAGCUAGUUGGUGAGGUAACGGCCCACCAAGGCGACGAUCAGUAGCCGGCCUGAGAGGGUGAACGGCCACAUUGGGACUGAGACACGGCCCAAACUCCUACGGGAGGCAGCAGUAGGGAAUAUUGGACAAUGGGGGAAACCCUGAUCCAGCGACG
RNAcentral lists this ribosomal RNA (410 nucleotides) under Lachnospiraceae bacterium G41. RNAcentral describes it as "bacterial SSU rRNA". It matches the Rfam family "Bacterial small subunit ribosomal RNA", at positions 1 to 396 of the family's 1533-position model. Lineage: Bacteria; Bacillati; Bacillota; Clostridia; Lachnospirales; Lachnospiraceae. The record is from RNAcentral.